Long non-coding RNA from Rhopalosiphum maidis (corn leaf aphid), 312 nucleotides. RefSeq lists it as uncharacterized. NCBI's taxonomy places the organism in Eukaryota, Metazoa, Arthropoda, Insecta, Hemiptera, Aphididae. The record is from RefSeq and is a predicted model, not a curated record. The transcript is spliced from 3 exons.
GUGCAGAUAUAUUCUUCAUUUUCACUAAACUCUUAAAAAUACCAAGCAACAAAUCAAAAAUGGGCGCUGAAAGAGUAUCCAUGAACAUCGUUGUCGUCGGACAAGUUCAAUCUGCUAAGGCCGUUUUAACCGUAGCCAAUGCCACUUCAGCUUCCAACUUGCAGUUAUUGAUAAUCUGUUAAGUCACGUAAAAUUCAUCUACUGAACUUCACAAACUCAAAAAUGUCAUAUUCAACACAAAUAAUAAUACAAUGUAUAAUUGUACCUACUUAUAAAUAAUUCAUGGACUAAUUUCAAUACCAUAAAAUAAAU